RNAcentral lists this ribosomal RNA (4746 nucleotides) under Triticum aestivum (bread wheat). RNAcentral describes it as "partial small subunit ribosomal RNA". Lineage: Eukaryota; Viridiplantae; Streptophyta; Magnoliopsida; Poales; Poaceae. The record is from RNAcentral.
AUGGCCCCUCAGGACGCGGCUGAAGCCCCGACAGACGCCGCGGAUCCUCCACCUCCCCCUCCUCAGACAGAGGCUGAAGUCCCGGCGUCGCCCCGUGGCGCUGAGGUCCUGACCGGGGCCCCUGAUGCCGGGGUUCUGCCCGCGGCCCCUGAUGACGAGGUUCCGGCUGGGCUACCCGAGGUGAAGGCGGUGGCCGCCGCUGACCCCGAGGGCAGGUCGCCAGGGUCGGGGUCCGGGUCAGGCUCCUCCAAGGGCGUCCGUACCACGGUCAAGCAGGUGCAGUGGAGCCUCUUCGGCGCCGACAUCAGCAGCAGCGCUGAGCCGGAUCCGUUCAGCGACCUCCUGGCGGACGGCGCCGGCGACGCAUUACUCGGAGCGCAGGUUUCAGGUUUCGGUGCCAGCAGUGUCGGAGCCGUGGAUCACAGCUUCUACAAUGGAGCGGGCAGCAGCAAUGCCAGUUCCCAGCUGGGCUGGGGGACUGGUUCCGGGGAAUUCCUGGCGGAUGGCGGUGUUGGUGAAGACGCCUUUUUCGGAGUGCAGGGUUCAGCUCUAGGGACUGCUGGUAGCGUUGGGGCGGCGGAUCAUAGUUUCUUCAAUGGAGUGGACAGCAAUGCCAAUUCACAGUCGUAUAUGGGUGCUGGUGUCGUGAAGUCUGCGGAUCAUCAGAACACCAGUGCGCAGUCUGACUGGACCGCCGGGGCUGUGGACCCCUCGGAUCCCUACCCUGGCUGGAAGUGGGACGUGGCAACAGGGCAGUGGUAUCAAGUGGAUGCUAUCGGUGCUCAAGGCUUUGCUGAUAAUGGCGGUGCUGUAGCGGCCUUCGGGAGCGAAAAUGUUCAGCAGCAGCAGCAGCAGCAGCACCUCGGUGUUUCGUACCUGCAGAACUCUUCACAGGCAGGGUUGGAGACCAUCACGGAGGAGGGCAGCGCCGCUGCCGCCAGCUGGGGCCAGGAUCAGAGCAGCGCAGCCGCAGCGGAGUACCCACCAAACAUGCUCUUCUAUGCUGAGUACCCUGAACAUUACUAUGACACCAACACUCAGCAGUGGUUCACGCUCGAGUCAUAUCAGCAAAGUGUCUUGCAAGCUGCAACUCCGCCAUCAGCAGUAGAUGCAUUUGCUGGGGCAGGUCACAGUGUAGCUCAUACUGGGAAUACUCAGGCAAGUAGUUUUAAUCAGCAGAACCAAUGGCAGCAUGGUUCGGUAGCCAACAGCAUGCAGCCUUAUACCGAGAAUCAGAUUAGUCAGCCGGCGUAUACUGAGCCUUUGAAGCCCUCUACAAAUUAUGGAGCUGCUAUCAACACAUUCGUGCCUAAUAUCAACACAUUCGUGCCUUCUACAAGUCAAUACAGUGGUAGUGGCGAGGGCCACCAGGUUAGUAACAAGGUUUUCCAACCUACCAGUUAUCAGAGUGCUGCUCACAAGGGUUUUGAACCGUAUAAAAACAAUCAAAGUGCUAUCAACACAUUUUUGCCUUCCACAAGUCAAUACAAUAGUAGUGGUGAGGGCUACCAGGUUAGUAACAAGGGUUUCCAACCUACCAGUUACCAGACUGCUGCUCAUAAGGGUUUUGAACCACAUAAAAACAAUCAAAAUGCUAUCAACACAUUUUUGCCUUCUACAAGCCAAUACAGUGGUGGUGGUGAGGCCCACCAGGUUAGUAACAAGGGUUUCGAACCUACUAGCCAUCAGAGUGCUCACAAGGGUUUUGAACCGUAUAAGAUCAAUCAAAGUACUUCUGCUAGCCAUGACAGUGGGUCCAGGGGAUUUGAGCCUUCACAAGGUCACCAGGGGUUUAAACCUUUCACAAAUAACCAGAGAAGCACAGGAUUUGUACCUUCUACAAGUCACCAGAUUGCCCACAAGGAAUUUGAACCUCCGAAAGAUAAUCAAGCUCACCAUGUAGCACACCAAUCUUCAUCAGGCCAUGGUUAUGACUAUCCGAAUGGCUUUGUUGAGCCACAAAAAGGUGUUCCUGUAACAAGCAUGUACCAGAUGCAAACACAGACUGAUCCUGCCACACACAUGCAUUUACCAAAUAACUAUGUGAGCAAUGAGAACUCCAUGAGCUUUCCUCAGCAGCUAGCUCCAUCUCAACAACUCGGCUACUCCCACCACGAGGAGAGGUCGUCAGCUGGACGCCCACCACAUUCGCUGGUUGCGUUUGGAUUUGGUGGGAAGCUUGUAGUUAUGAAAGAGACCAGCUCGAUGACUACAAACUUUGACAGUGGAAAUCAGAGCAAUUCUCGAGGCACACUGUCAAUUCUUAAUAUAUCGGAGGUUGUUGCUGAUAAAAUUGAUCAACAAGGCAUCCCUAAUGGCAGUGCACUUAGCUACUUCUAUGCUUUGUGUCGUCGACCUAUUCCUGGCCCCCUUGCCGGAGGAAGUGCUGCAGCAAAGGACCUGAAUAAAUGGCUUGAUGAUAUUAUCGGAGGCUACGAGUCUUCUGUCAGCGAUUUCCAAGGAGGGGAUGUUCAGAAGCUGCUUAUAUCGUUGCUGAAAAUAUCAUAUCAACACUAUGGAAAACUCCGUUCACCCUUUGGGCCCGAUCCAUCGCGUGAGGGUAUGGAUGGCCCAGACACUGCAGUAACAGCGCUUUUUUCAUCAUGUAGUAGUAAUAGUGCCCGUAUGAGAGACCAUUGCAUGAAAAAUAUCCCCUCAGAAAACCAGAUACAGGCUACUGCUCAAGAAGUUCAAAAUCUUUUAGUUUCUGGUAAAAGGAAAGAUGCGCUUCAGUAUGCGCAGGAAGGUCAGCUUUGGGGACCUGCACUGAUCCUUGCUUUACAACUUGGUGAUCAGUUUUAUGCGGAUACUGUGAAGAAAAUGGCUUACUGUCAUUUCAAAUCUGGAUCACCUUUGAGGACAUUGUGCCUUCUUAUCGCUGGACAACCAGCAGAUGUUUUUAAGCCUGAGAACCCUGUCGAUGCCAAUUAUGCCACUUUACAUGCGCAGCAACAGCCUGCAGAGGGUACUCCUGUGGGCAUGCUGAAUGACUGGCAACAAAAUUUGGCAAUUAUAACUGCAAACAGGACAAAAGCAGAUGAGCUUGUAAUCACUCACCUCGGGGAUUGCCUUUGGAAAGAGAGAAAUGAGGUUGCAGCUGCUCAUUCAUGCUAUUUAGUUGCUGAGCUAAAUAUCGAUCCAUACUCUGAAAGUGCAAGAAUGUGUUUACUCGGAGCAGACCAUCUGAGAUGUCCUCGCACAUUUACCAGCCCUGAAGCUAUACAGAGAACAGAGUUGUAUGAAUAUGCGAAAGCCCUUGGAAAUUCUCAGUAUAUCCUCCUGCCAUUUCAACCAUAUAAGCUGAUAUAUGCAUACAUGCUUGCGGAGGUUGGGAAGGUCUCUGAUUCACUAAAGUACUGUCAAGCAUCUUUGAAGCUCCUGAAAUCCUCCGGCCGUGCGCCUGAACUAGAAGCAUGGAAGCAAUUGUUUUCAUCUCUGGAGGAGCGGAUACGCACCCACCAGCAGGGUGGUUAUGGCACAAAUCUUGCUCCUGCAAAGCUUGUUGGAAAGAUUUUCUCAACAUUUGAUAAAUCUUUGUCCCGCAUGAUGGGUACACAACCCGCACCAAUGCCGCCAUUGUCACAGGGCUCUUCUGGUGACAGAGAUUUCUAUCCUGUUCCUCAAGUUACAAAUCCUGCUCCUCCGGUUACAAACUUUGUAAAUAGUCAGUCACCGAUGCCUAUGUCAUCUUCUACUUCGGAGCAGUUUAUGAGUGAAAUAGCAGAAAAUAGCGACCCUGACAAGAAAGGCGCACAUAGCAGAAGUGUCUCUGCACCAGACUUAAAGAAAAAACAGGGUGGUGGAUCAGAUAAUGCACAAAGCACAUCAGGUUCAGGCAGUUCGCGAUUCGGAUGGUUGCUGCAGAAAACAGUGGGACUUGUUUCGAAAUCUUCCAACCAGGCCAAGUUGGGGGAAGAGAACAGUUUCUACUAUGAUGAGAACCUGAAGCGGUGGGUGGAGCGAGGUGCUGCGAUCCCUGCUGCCGUGGAGCCUCCUCUUGCCCCACCUCCUACAAAAGCCUCGUUCCAGAACGGCGUUCCAGAUCACAACACCUCGACUGGGCCCCCCAGCGGCGGAGGUUAUACUCCUAAUGGAUUUUCAGAAGCGAAACCUCCAAAUCCUUCGGAGCCGGUUUCAGGGAUGCCGCCGAUGCCACCUAGCCAGAAUCAGUUCUCAGCACGUGGGAGGGCGGGUGUGAGAUCAAGAUACGUCGACACAUUCAACAAGGGUGGUGGCGGAAACUCCUUCGGAGGGCCAUCAUACAACAGACCAGCCAUGCCAUCGGUGAACAAGCUGCCCGCCGCCAGUUUCUUCGUCCCAACUCCAGCCGCAGAUGCUUCAAUGCAGCCGACCGAGACAGCAGCCGACGCGCACAGCGAAUCCGCAAGCCAGGACGGGCCAUCGUCCUCGCCGGCAGUUGAGUCCUCGUUCUACGCCUCCCCGCCACCCCCAAUGCAAAUGCAAACGGGCAUGCAGCGGCACCCGAGCAUGGACAACAUCAUGACCCCCUCUGGCAGCGGCAACGGCUCCUUCUCGAAGUCACGGGCAGCAUCAUGGAGCGGGACAUACUCGGAGCAGAUGAGCAGCACCGCCGCCUCGAGAUCGCCGGACGGGCAGACCAUGCAGUCCCCGCCAAUGAUGCCCGGUGUGAGACCUUCCCACAGCCGCUCCCACAGCAACUCGUCCCUUAAUCGGUUCAACAGCGGUGGUGGGUUCGGGGAGGAUCUCCAGGAGGUGGAGCUCUGA